RNAcentral lists this ribosomal RNA (344 nucleotides) under uncultured bacterium. Its description in RNAcentral is "bacterial SSU rRNA". It matches the Rfam family "Bacterial small subunit ribosomal RNA", at positions 8 to 334 of the family's 1533-position model. The record is from RNAcentral.
AGGGUUUGAUUCUGGCUCAGGAUGAACGCUGGCGGCGUGCUUAACACAUGCAAGUCGAACGAAGCACUUAAGAAUGAUUCUUCGGAUGAAUUUUUUUGUGACUUAGUGGCGGACGGGUGAGUAACGCGUGGGUAACCUGCCUCACACAGGGGGAUAACAGUUGGAAACGACCGCUAAUACCGCAUAACCCGCUAGGGCCGCAUGGCCCGGACGGAAAAGAUUUAUCGGUGUGAGAUGGACCCGCGUUGGAUUAGCUAGUUGGCAGGGUAACGGCCUACCAAGGCGACGAUCCAUAGCCGGCCUGAGAGGGUGAACGGCCACAUUGGGACUGAGACACGGCCCAA